AACAACUUCUCACUCAGCACCCACCUGCUCUCUGUCCCACCGCCUCACCCACUUCAGACACCAGGUAAUUGCAAGCCAGUUCUCAAUUCAUGCACAGACAGCACGUCUGCUCUGUUAUUUAUUUCGCGCGAUCCACCAAGAGUUAAAGGAGAAGAAAACAUUUGGCUUUUAGCGGUUUACAAAGCCUCAUUACAGCUGAAAUAAAGUAACCACUAAAUCUUGUGUGGUUACAGAGGUCACUGGAGUUCUGGCACGGUGGCGCCAAUUCCGAGGCAGGAAUUUCAUUUCCCUCGGAGGAGAAGUGCAGGCAGAGCCGAAGGGACGGCAGGCGGCACCGCGCGGCGGCGGGCGGCACAAGGGCUCAUUGACGCUCCCCGCCGACGUGCCACGGAGCAAGCUCGACGCCUCGGCCCCACUCCUUCAGCCCAGGGCUUCACAAGCGACUUUGAAACUCCCCUGCCCGCCCCGUGAAAUGAGUAGGUAUUACUUGAGUGUACGCAGGGAUGGAGGCGAGCCAGGAAAAGGCUGGGGCUCACCGUGGUGUUUUUUGAAGCGUCCCGCACCUGGGUGCGCUGGAGCGUGCGAGUGCUGGGGGGACGUUGCUGACCCCACGCCUGCAGGGACUGGGGCUGGGGGCUCCCUGAAAAAGGUGGGCGAUUGCCCCUGCUGCAGGUGAAGCAGUGGGUGGGUGGGGAUGGGCUGGGACUCCCAUCCCCCAGGGACUGCCGGGCUCCACGAUCUGUGCUCCUGCCAGAGGCUGCCGACUGCAGGAGGAUUUCUCCCCAGCUGCUGCAGAAGCUGUGGCAAGUCCCACUGGCUUUCUACGGGGGACAGAGGAGCGGCGAGCCCUCAGGAAGUGGGGCAGCGGAAGAUGACCGUGCUGGAGGCUCAGGCAGAGCACUGUCCGCCCCCGAGUUGCUUUGUUUUGAAAACAACCAUCCCGCUCUAAUCGGCAAUCUUAUUUUUUCAUUAUUGGUAAGACAUAACGCUCUGUUCUCUUUGCUGUUUGCACUGGCAGCGCUCCAUGUAAUGCAAGGUUCAAGAAAGGAAUAUAAUUUCUUGCCCUUCCGUAUCUCAUUUGUUUGGG
Molecule: long non-coding RNA, 1087 nt
Filed under: Anas platyrhynchos platyrhynchos (common mallard)
Lineage: Eukaryota; Metazoa; Chordata; Aves; Anseriformes; Anatidae
Description: lncRNA (ENSAPLG00000023558.1)
Source: RNAcentral